ACUCCUACGGAGGCAGGCAGCAGUAGGGAAUCUUCCGCAAUGGGCGAAAGCCUGACGGAGCAACGCCGCGUGAGUGAUGAAGGUCUUCGGAUCGUAAAACUCUGUUAUUAGGGAAGAACAAAUGUGUAAGUAACUAUGCACGUCUUGACGGUACCUAAUCAGAAAGCCACGGCUAACUACGUGCCAGCAGCCGCGGUAAU
RNAcentral lists this ribosomal RNA (200 nucleotides) under uncultured bacterium. RNAcentral describes it as "partial 16S ribosomal RNA". It matches the Rfam family "Bacterial small subunit ribosomal RNA", at positions 335 to 524 of the family's 1533-position model. The record is from RNAcentral. RNAcentral also lists the same sequence under 1 other name.